This is a long non-coding RNA of Panicum hallii, 515 nucleotides long. RefSeq lists it as uncharacterized. The record is from RefSeq and is a predicted model, not a curated record. The transcript is spliced from 4 exons. NCBI's taxonomy places the organism in Eukaryota, Viridiplantae, Streptophyta, Magnoliopsida, Poales, Poaceae.
AUUACAAUUUUCUUGUCGUAUCCUCCCCAUCCCGGAUCCGAAAGCUCGCGGUCGGCUUCCAGUCGGGCGGAUCUUGCCUGCGUCGCCGGCGCCGGCCAAGCGGGACACGGACUCAGUGCUGUCAGCAGCAAGCCUAGCGCGGAUAUGGUUGUCCGGUGCCGGUGCUGUGACAUACGCCGAGUUCUUGCACCUCAGCUGCAACGCCACCGAGCCGGACGCAAGCCCGUGUACUCCAUCACGCGCUCGAUGAGACGGAUGCGUGCCUGCCAAGGCCGUCUUCCUCAGCUCCAUGUGGAAGUGUUGAGAACUGCUAGCUAGCUGCUGCACACAAAUCUAAUGGGUGUGUGAGCAAAUCUAUAUGUGAAGCAUCACUAUUGUACUUUGCUGGAAUCUGGAAGGUAAAUAUCGCUUGAUCAGCUAUAGACACAAUAUGAUAGCGUUGGCAGAAAGUCUCAUCAUUGACGGGUCCACUGGUUCAAGAUACUCUUCCUACUCCAGCACCGACUCCCUAGAGG